RNAcentral lists this ribosomal RNA (506 nucleotides) under uncultured bacterium. RNAcentral describes it as "partial 16S ribosomal RNA". It matches the Rfam family "Bacterial small subunit ribosomal RNA", at positions 28 to 507 of the family's 1533-position model. The record is from RNAcentral.
GACGAACGCUGGCGGCGUGCUUAACACAUGCAAGUCGAACGGUGAAGGGACUGGUUUUGCUGGUCCUGGAUGAGUGGCGAACGGGUGAGUAACACGUGAGUAACCUGCCCCCUUCUUCUGGAUAACCGCAUGAAAGUGUGGCUAAUACGGGAUAUUCUGGGUCUGUCGCAUGGUGGGCCUGGGAAAGAUUGCGCCUUUUUUGGUGUUUUUGGUGGGGGAUGGGCUCGCGGCCUAUCAGCUUGUUGGUGGGGUGAUGGCCUACCAAGGCGGUGACGGGUAGCCGGCCUGAGAGGGUGGACGGUCACACUGGGACUGAGACACGGCCCAGACUCCUACGGGAGGCAGCAGUGGGGAAUAUUGCACAAUGGGCGCAAGCCUGAUGCAGCGACGCCGCGUGAGGGAUGGAGGCCUUCGGGUUGGGAACCUCUUUCGCCAGUGAAGCAGGCCUGCCUCUUUUUGUGGGUGGGUUGACGGUAGCUGGAUAAGAAGCGCCGGCUAACUACGUG